GUGGGGAAUUGUUCGCAAUGGACGAAAGUCUGACGACGCAACGCCGCGUGAAGGAUGAAGGUCUUCGGAUUGUAAACUUCUGUUGGGUGGGAAGAACUGUUUCCGGAUCAAUACCCCGGAGAUCUUACGGUACCACCUGAGGAAGCCCCGGCUAACUCUGUGCCAGCAGCCGCGGUAAUACCGAGGGGGCAAGCGUUGUUCGGAAUUACUGGGCGUAAAGGGCGCGUAGGCGGCCUAUUAAGUCAGACGUGAAAUCCCUCGGCUCAACCGGGGAACUGCGUCUGAUACUGGUGGGCUUGAGUUCGGGAGAGGAAUGUGGAAUUCCAGGUGUAGCGGUGAAAUGCGUAGAUAUCUGGAGGAACACCGGUGGCGAAGGCGGCAUUCUGGACCGACACUGACGCUGAGGCGCGAAAGCCAGGGGAGCAAA
RNAcentral lists this ribosomal RNA (427 nucleotides) under uncultured bacterium. Its description in RNAcentral is "bacterial SSU rRNA". It matches the Rfam family "Bacterial small subunit ribosomal RNA", at positions 354 to 772 of the family's 1533-position model. The record is from RNAcentral.